RNAcentral lists this ribosomal RNA (497 nucleotides) under uncultured bacterium. RNAcentral's name for it is "partial 16S ribosomal RNA". It matches the Rfam family "Bacterial small subunit ribosomal RNA", at positions 28 to 507 of the family's 1533-position model. The record is from RNAcentral.
GAUGAACGCUGGCGGCGUGCCUAAUACAUGCAAGUCGAGCGAACGGACGAGUAGCUUGCUUCUCUGAUGUUAGCGGCGGACGGGUGAGUAACACGUGGAUAACCUACCUAUAAGACUGGGAUAACUUCGGGAAACCGGAGCUAAUACCGGAUAAUAUUUUGAACCGCAUGGUUCAAAAGUGAAAGACGGUCUUGCUGUCACUUAUAGAUGGAUCCGCGCUGCAUUAGCUAGUUGGUAAGGUAACGGCUUACCAAGGCAACGAUGCAUAGCCGACCUGAGAGGGUGAUCGGCCACACUGGAACUGAGACACGGUCCAGACUCCUACGGGAGGCAGCAGUAGGGAAUCUUCCGCAAUGGGCGAAAGCCUGACGGAGCAACGCCGCGUGAGUGAUGAAGGUCUUCGGAUCGUAAAACUCUGUUAUUAGGGAAGAACAUAUGUGUAAGUAACUGUGCACAUCUUGACGGUACCUAAUCAGAAAGCCACGGCUAACUACGUG